RNAcentral lists this ribosomal RNA (497 nucleotides) under uncultured bacterium. Its description in RNAcentral is "partial 16S ribosomal RNA". It matches the Rfam family "Bacterial small subunit ribosomal RNA", at positions 28 to 507 of the family's 1533-position model. The record is from RNAcentral.
GAUGAACGCUGGCGGCGUGCCUAAUACAUGCAAGUCGAGCGAACAGAUGAGGAGCUUGCUCCUCUGACGUUAGCGGCGGACGGGUGAGUAACACGUGGAUAACCUACCUAUAAGACUGGGAUAACUUCGGGAAACCGGAGCUAAUACCGGAUGAUAUAUUGAACCGCAUGGUUCAAUAGUGAAAGACGGUUUUGCUGUCACUUAUAGAUGGAUCCGCGCCGCAUUAGCUAGUUGGUAAGGUAACGGCUUACCAAGGCAACGAUGCGUAGCCGACCUGAGAGGGUGGUCGGCCACACGGGAACUGAGACACGGUCCAGACUCCUACGGGAGGCAGCAGUAGGGAAUCUUACGCAAUGGGCGAAAGCCUGACGGAGCAACGCGGCGUGAGUGAUGAAGGUCUUCGGAUCGUAAAACUCUGUUAUUAGGGAAGAACAAAUGUGUAAGUAACUAUGCACGUCUUGACGGUACCUAAUCAGAAAGCCACGGCUAACUACGUG